GACGAACGCUGGCGGCGUGCUUAACACAUGCAAGUCGAACGGAAAGGCCCUGCUUUUGUGGGGUGCUCGAGUGGCGAACGGGUGAGUAACACGUGAGUAACCUGCCCUUGACUUUGGGAUAACUUCAGGAAACUGGGGCUAAUACCGGAUAGGAGCUCCUGCUGCAUGGUGGGGGUUGGAAAGUUUCGGCGGUUGGGGAUGGACUCGCGGCUUAUGAGCUUGUUGGUGGGGUAGUGGCUUACCAAGGCUUUGACGGGUAGCCGGCCUGAGAGGGUGACCGGCCACAAUGGGACUGAGAUACGGCCCAGACUCCUACGGGAGGCAGCAGUGGGGAAUAUUGCACAAUGGGCGGAAGCCUGAUGCAGCAACGCCGCGUGCGGGAUGACGGCCUUCGGGGUGUAAACCGCUUUCGCCUGUGACGAAGCGUGAGUGACGGUAAUGGGUAAAGAAGCACCGGCUAACUACGUG
This 468-nucleotide ribosomal RNA is filed under the name uncultured bacterium. Its description in RNAcentral is "partial 16S ribosomal RNA". It matches the Rfam family "Bacterial small subunit ribosomal RNA", at positions 28 to 507 of the family's 1533-position model. The record is from RNAcentral.